AAAUCUCCCCCUCCUCACUCCUCCAGCACAAUUCAAAAAGUAGGUGCAUUUGAAUGGAACUCAUGAGUCAAGAGGUAUGAAACACCUUAUACCUACAAUACUUCGAUUUCAACCGACCUUAAUUAUUUCUCUUCAAGUCGAGAGUCAGCUCAACAAAUUUUGAGUCUCUCUGUCUCUCGUUACCCGAAAAACUUUUCAAUUCUCAGAAAUUACAACACUGAUUUCCAUCGUCCGAAAAAAAAUGAAUUGUUUAUCAAGUGAUAUCGAUUUCAGAUGUGUGUUAGUGUGUUUCAUUCUUAUCGUUGAUCAAUAAUUAUGUGAAACACCAGUAAAAUUCUACACAAUUCGAGCCCACUUUACACAUACAGCGUGUGUUAUGUAGUGUUAAAUAUUGCUCAAUUUUUUUCUAGUUUUUCGUUUCUUGAAUAAUUACCAUUACCAAUGUCGUGGGUUACUUUCGUAUCAAUUUAUUUCAAUAUGUUAAUGAGCAAAAUUAAAGCGGCGACAGACGAGUAUGAUCUGCAAAAUAUGAUUGCUCCUUUGAUGUGGUGUUUCGAUACUUACCCAGUGCUUUCGGUGGUUCUCGUGAUCGUUGCAUCUGCAUAUGCAGUUCCUAUUUGCUUAUUUUUACUAUUUAGUGUAAUUACAUUCGCUAUUACUUUUGCUGGAUUCCUCUUCUUGGAAGGAGCAAUUAUAGCGGUAGCUUUUGUUGUACUGUUAUCAGUGUUAUCUACAUUGACCAUAACAUUGGCCUUAUUUGUACUCACUUGCUGGACGAUUUAUCUAGUAAUUGCACAGUUCUGUCAAACAGUACCCAUAACAUCGUUUUCAAACACGCCGCCGGAUGAUAACUUACUCAACAACAAUCACCUGAAUCGUUCGUUUCAUUUAAAUAACGAAGAAUGAAUCUCAUUUAGAAUACGAUACAUGACUACCAUUUUAAUUAAUUCAUAUAGCAAUGUAAAACACCAAUACCUACCUGCGUAUUUAUGAUCUCAAAUUCAAAAUAUGACUACCUAUUAUAAGGAAACCAUGGUAAAAUAUUAAUUAAUUCUCGUAGGUAAAUUUUACCUAGUUCUUUUGAAAAUGUAAGGGUAAAUAGGUAUAUUUUCUUCUUAUUGGUUAGGUAUUUUAUAAUUCUCGAUCUGUGAUAAUGACUUGGUUAACCAUACAUUUUUCUUUAGUGAUAUAAUGUACAAAGUAGUACUUUUAAUUGGUAUUUUAAAAGGUUGAAUGAUUUCUGUUACAAAAUACUAUAAAAACUCGAUUUCUCAGUAAUUAAUUUCGAUAAAAUUUAUCGCUGCAAUACUCUUUGAUAAUUUUACUCCAAUUAAACUCAUUUUUUUCAGACCUUAUGUAUUUAUAUAAGUUCCAUUGUUUUUUUUUCUCCAGAUAUAGGUAAUGUGUUUGUGUAGCAUCGUUAGUACGUAGUAUUCAAACUCCUUUUGAUAUUAUGGGCUCUUCUAUGUAUAACUAUCGAUUAUGUAAUCUCAGGUGGCAAUCUGAAGAAAGAUGGAAGAUGAGUAUUUGUUCAUCUGUAAAAGCCUGUUCUGCUAAAUCGUGUGGGUAUAUUCUCGUCUAGAUCUUACUGACCUUCAAAAUACUGCCUUGUACGCGUAAUUAUACCUAAUUUUGAUAGUUUUUUUCUCUUCUAAAUAGUUUUUCUGCGCAUUACUUGUAUGUUUACGAAGUUACCUGAACCAAUAUAAUAUUUAAAUUGUGAAUUUAUGACUUUUAUCCAGUUGAAAUAAACGUUUUUCAGUUUUCUGCGAAAA
Long non-coding RNA from Planococcus citri (citrus mealybug), 1775 nucleotides. RefSeq lists it as uncharacterized. The record is from RefSeq and is a predicted model, not a curated record. NCBI's taxonomy places the organism in Eukaryota, Metazoa, Arthropoda, Insecta, Hemiptera, Pseudococcidae. The transcript is spliced from 2 exons.